RNAcentral lists this ribosomal RNA (371 nucleotides) under Staphylococcus aureus. Its description in RNAcentral is "bacterial SSU rRNA". It matches the Rfam family "Bacterial small subunit ribosomal RNA", at positions 1 to 360 of the family's 1533-position model. Lineage: Bacteria; Bacillati; Bacillota; Bacilli; Caryophanales; Staphylococcaceae. The record is from RNAcentral.
UUUUAUGGAGAGUUUGAUCCUGGCUCAGGAUGAACGCUGGCGGCGUGCCUAAUACAUGCAAGUCGAGCGAACGGACGAGAAGCUUGCUUCUCUGAUGUUAGCGGCGGACGGGUGAGUAACACGUGGAUAACCUACCUAUAAGACUGGGAUAACUUCGGGAAACCGGAGCUAAUACCGGAUAAUAUUUUGAACCGCAUGGUUCAAAAGUAAAAGACGGUCUUGCUGUCACUUAUAGAUGGAUCCGCGCUGCAUUAGCUAGUUGGUAAGGUAACGGCUUACCAAGGCAACGAUGCAUAGCCGACCUGAGAGGGUGAUCGGCCACACUGGAACUGAGACACGGUCCAGACUCCUACGGGAGGCAGCAGUAGGGA